AUGUUUAACCGUAAAAUAUAAACUCACAUUAAAAUCGCCAGGGAAUUACGAGCCCAAGCUUAAAACCCAAAGGACUUGACGGUGUCCCACCCACCUAGAGGAGCCUGUUCUAUAAUCGAUUCUCCCCGAUAAACCUCACCACUUCUAGCUUCUCAGCCUGUAUACCUCCGUCGUAAGCUUACCAUGUGAACGAACCAAGUGAGCCUAAAGGUCCUUCCACCAACACGUCAGGUCAAGGUGCAGCUUAUGAACUGGGAAGAAAUGGGCUACAAUUUCUACCAUAGAACAAACGAAAGGCUACAUGAAAUACAGCCAUGAAGGCGGAUUUAGUAGUAAAAAGAGAAUAGAGAGCUCUUUUUAAUAAGGCGCUGGGACGCGUACACA
This 384-nucleotide ribosomal RNA is filed under the name Chiasmocleis bassleri (Bassler's humming frog). RNAcentral describes it as "Syncope bassleri (Bassler's humming frog) 12S ribosomal RNA". It matches the Rfam family "Bacterial small subunit ribosomal RNA", at positions 824 to 1389 of the family's 1533-position model. Lineage: Eukaryota; Metazoa; Chordata; Amphibia; Anura; Microhylidae. The record is from RNAcentral.